GUUUCGGACUAGCAGAGAGAGAGGAGAUCCGUGCAAAUCUACAAGACAAAACUAGGCCUGAAGCCUACCAAUUCAGCAGCUUACUAACCAAUCUUCUUAGAAAACGGGUGGACAUACCAUUUGGAAAACAGGUGCUCAGUAGGAUUCAUGGCUUAUAAAAAAAAAAAAAAACACCCCAUACCAUCCAGAACAUAAUCCUGUCUGGCUUUAGCAUCACCUUUGUCCAUAGGCAUGGACAAAGUCCAUUAAAUGAAGGUGGGACUAGCACUCCUCUGGGCUCACUCCUGUCCUAUCAGACUGCAGCAGAGAGGAGAGGGUUGCAGAGCAGCCUGCAGUGAUUGGAUAAAAAAAAACAGCACUCAGGAAAGAAGACGAGUCAUGCAGAGUGAGAACAUACCCCUUUCAAAGCACAGAAUGACAAACCAACCCCUGAGGAAUCGUCCUGGAAACAUUGCCAGACUUCUGUUUUCCAAAAUUGCCUGAAGCCUUCUCAGAAUACUGAUGCCUUUCUAAAGAGUUUGCUAUCAAUGUUAUAUGAGAAUGACUGAAGCCUCGUAUGUGGAUGGAUGCCAAGGGUCAACAGAGGCAUCUUCAUUUAGAGGACAGUUCUGGCUAUAUCAUCUGAGUAAAUUAUCCCAGUCCUUCAUAAUUCAUUUUUCUUUAACUUUUUUUCUUUAUUACAAUUUACUGACUGAUUCUUCUGCCUAGCAGCCACAGUAUGCAGUCCCAAGGUGACUAUGGCUGCCAUUCUUCUUGUGCCGUGGAGAGUGAUGGUCACCUCAGGAGAUAACUCUUCAAUGGUGCUUCCAUAAAAAAACAACACAGGAAAAAGGUGAUCUAGUGAGGCGGACAGGGAGAAUGUGUGAGGUACAACUAUUUCUACCUUUAGUUUAGGGUAUUUUAUAAGAUGUCAUUUUAAUAAUGGAACCCGACAGAGCUGAAAUGUGGUCAUUUCUUUAAAGUUUCAUGUACAUAACC
Molecule: long non-coding RNA, 978 nt
Organism: Hyla sarda
Lineage: Eukaryota; Metazoa; Chordata; Amphibia; Anura; Hylidae
Exons: 4
Source: RefSeq, a predicted model, not a curated record